This 92-nucleotide transfer RNA is filed under the name Planctomycetota bacterium. RNAcentral's name for it is "tRNA-Ser". It matches the Rfam family "tRNA". From Rfam's summary of the family: Transfer RNA (tRNA) molecules are approximately 80 nucleotides in length. Their secondary structure includes four short double-helical elements and three loops (D, anti-codon, and T loops). Lineage: Bacteria; Pseudomonadati; Planctomycetota. The record is from RNAcentral.
GGAGAGGUGGCAGAGUGGCCGAAUGCACCACCUUGCUAAGGUGGCGUGGGCUUUGCGGCCCACCGCGGGUUCGAAUCCCGCCCUCUCCGCCA